AUGGCUGAGUCGGCCUAUAGCAUUGUGCUCAGCAAUGUCAACACACUUGCAAUUCAGGAGACCACACUCCUGUGUGGAGUCACCCUUGAAGUGGAGUCCCUAAAAGAUGAGCUCAAGCGGCUCCAAGGCUUCCUUAGAGAUGCCGACGGCAAGCGGAGGCUCAGAGAUGAAGAUAUUGUUGUCUUGGUCAGCCAGAUCAGAGAUGUGGGGUAUGAGGCUGACAAUGCCAUUGAAGCGGUGGAUCACAUGCAGAAGAGAAACCGGCUCAAGAAGGGAUUCAUGGGCGCCAUUGCAAGGUAUGCUCGCCUACCAAGUGAUUUGACUACCCUUCUCAAUGUUGGUGUUGAAAUUGAACACAUCAAAAGGAAAAUCUCUGAGAUAGUUGAAAGUGCAAAGCGCCUGGAAAUAGUUGAUUUGGGGAAUGUGCCAAUAGAAAAUGUUCAUGUUGAUGAUGAGUUCCAACAAGAUUAUCCUAACUAUCAAAACUAUGAAGAAAUUUUACUUGUUGGCUUUGAGGGUGAGUACGAAGAAAUAGUGGAGAAAUUAGUUGACACAGAGAAGAGUCUUAGUGCUAUCUCCAUAGUUGCUAUGGGUGGGGCAGGAAAAACAGCACUUGCUAAGAAAGUCUUCAUGUCAUGUAGAGUCCAAGAACACUUCGGCAAAACUGCUUGGGUUACUGUAUCUCAAAAAUACAAAGGCAUUGAUUUACUCAAGGAAAUUAUGAAACAAAUUAUGGGGAGUACAGACGAGUCAAUUGAUAAAUUGAAUGAGUAUGAGGUGGGACAAAAGAUCCAUGAUUUCUUGUUGCAAACAAAAUGCUUAGUGGUUCUUGAUGAUGUGUGGGAAACAGAUACAUGGGAGCAAUUAAACAGAAGCAUUAGAGCCUUUCCAGAUGCAGCCAAUGGUAGUAGAAUACUUAUAACCACACGAAAAGACAUUGCAAAUCAUGUUCAAAUACCAACCCACGUUCAUCCUUUGAAGAAGCUUGAUGAAGAAAAAAGCUGGGAACUUUUGAGUAGCAAAGCCUUACCAUCAUACAAAAGGUCCGUCAUACAUGAUGUGGAUGAGUUUGAGAAACUUGGCAGAAAGCUUGCAAAGAAAUGCGAUGGGUUACCACUUGCACUUGCACUAUUGGGGGGUUACCUAUCAAAACAUUUAAAUGCACGAGAAUGGUCUGAUAUACUCUUGGAUUGGCCAUCGACCAGAAAUGGGCAGAUGGUGCAGAACAUUGUGGCCCGGAGUUACAAGGACCUGCCAAAUCAUUAUUUAAGGUCUUGUUUCCUCUAUAUUGCUUCUUAUCCCAAGGAUUACAUAAUAGAUGUGCCAAGACUUAUAGAAUUAUGGAUAGCAGAAGGCUUCAUUCCUAAGAUACCAAACCAUAAGCUAGAAGAAACAGCGGAAAUGUAUGUAGCCGAGUUGGCCCAGAGAAGCUUGGUAGAAGUUAUUGAAAGAAGCAGGGCACAUGGAUGUAUUGACAUUAUAAAGAUUCAUGAUAUCUUACAUGACUGGUGUGCAGAAGAAGCAAGGCAAGAUGGUUUUCUUGAUGUGAAGAACGAAACUACGGGCCAAGUUGGCGAGCCAGCAUCAUCAAAUAACUUGGUUUCCUAUCGCUCUAGUUUCCAGAGUUUGAGUAAUGAGAUUUUACCUGGGACAACUAAUAUCCGAACUUUGCUUGGCUUUGAACUUCAAUCAGCAUCCGUUCCUAAACUGAGGCUCCUGAGAGUUCUUAGCAUUGAAAAGUCAACAUUGAAAGAUUUCUGUACAGUGAUCAGUGGCUGCAUUCACCUAAGAUAUCUUAGGUUGGGGAACUGUGGAGGUGUGGUUCUACCUUCCUCAAUAGGCCAGCUCUUAUACUUGCAGACUAUAGAUCUAAGGGACUCAUACUUGGAAUCGCAAGUACCAAAGUCCCUCUGGGAUAUCCCCAGUCUAAGGAAUGUAUACCUUGAUGAUGGGUUUUCACCACCACCACCACCUGCAAAGAGUGUCCGGCUGCAUCACAAAGAGCUCCAGACCUUGUUUUUGGGUAUUUCACAUGUUGGCACUAAAUUGUGGUUUCAUGACAUGGUUAUUUUCCUGCGCCAGAUGAAUCAACUAAGAACCUUAUUCUUGAUGAUAUUCCCCAUGCCCACGGAGGUGUUUAGCCUAUUUGCAAACAUGCCUCACCUUGUUGAUAUUACUCUUGGCCAAUUAGGUGUGCUUGAUAAGUUGCCUGAUGAGUUCCCACAAAGUGUACGGCGUCUUGUUCUAUAUGCCGAUGUCAUUAGACAAGACCCAAUGCCGAUCCUAGAGAAGCUUCCAUGUCUUGUGGUGCUGAAAUUAGAGGGGUAUGAAGGCAAAACUAUGUCCUGCUCUGCACAAGGGUUUCCUCAGCUGCAAGAGUUGGAACUUCAUAGGUUUUCUGUCGAGGAGUGGAGGACGGAGGAAGGGACAAUGUCUAAACUAUUUAUCCUGACACUUUGGAAGUGCGAGAAGAUGAUCAAGGUUUGCGAGGAAUUGCUAGACCUUUCGUACCUCAGUCACGUGACAUUGGCCGAGGUGCCCUAUUUCUGA
This 2550-nucleotide ribosomal RNA is filed under the name Triticum aestivum (bread wheat). Its description in RNAcentral is "partial small subunit ribosomal RNA". The record is from RNAcentral. Lineage: Eukaryota; Viridiplantae; Streptophyta; Magnoliopsida; Poales; Poaceae.